AUACGGAGGGGGCGAGCGUUAUUCGGAAUCAUUGGGCGUAAAGGGCGCGUAGGCGGCCUGGCAAGUCAGGGGUGAAAUCCCUCGGCUCAACCGAGGAACUGCCUCUGAAACUGUCAGGCUUGAGGCCGGGAGAGGGUAGUGGAAUUCCCAAUGUAGCGGUGAAAUGCGUAGAUAUUGGGAGGAACACCAGUGGCGAAGGCGGCUACCUGGACCGGUUCUGACGCUGAGGCGCGAAAGUGUGGGGAGCAAACAGGAUUAGAAACCCUAGUAGUCC
RNAcentral lists this ribosomal RNA (274 nucleotides) under uncultured bacterium. RNAcentral describes it as "partial 16S ribosomal RNA". It matches the Rfam family "Bacterial small subunit ribosomal RNA", at positions 523 to 796 of the family's 1533-position model. The record is from RNAcentral.